GUCAAUAGCCACACAAGACAUACAAAAGAGAUAAUAAAUAAAUAUUUUAUUUAAAAGUUUUGUAUAUAUUUCAGAAAAAGCUUAUUAUAAGGCAACUUCAUUUGGACAAUUUAUUUUAGCAAAAGAAAGAAAAGAUAUAAGAUUUGAGCUAAGACGACAUCCUUGGGCUUAGCCAUCAACCUUGGGCACAAAGCCUAACUAUGCUCGAUGAGGUUGUUGGUAAUGUCUGUGUAUGAAGGCCUUCCCCUUCAAUAGUCAUCGAUCCUCGAUAAGAGACAUCGGAGAUGGAAUAGUGGGUACUCUCUCAAAAACCC
This 314-nucleotide long non-coding RNA is filed under the name Elaeis guineensis (African oil palm). RNAcentral's name for it is "long non-coding RNA (EGUI_LNC044199)". Lineage: Eukaryota; Viridiplantae; Streptophyta; Magnoliopsida; Arecales; Arecaceae. The record is from RNAcentral.